This 76-nucleotide transfer RNA is filed under the name Deinococcus soli (ex Cha et al. 2016). Its description in RNAcentral is "tRNA-Ala". It matches the Rfam family "tRNA". Rfam says of the family: Transfer RNA (tRNA) molecules are approximately 80 nucleotides in length. Their secondary structure includes four short double-helical elements and three loops (D, anti-codon, and T loops). The record is from RNAcentral. Lineage: Bacteria; Thermotogati; Deinococcota; Deinococci; Deinococcales; Deinococcaceae.
GGGGCCGUAGCGCAGCUGGGAGCGCGUCUCAAUGGCAUUGAGAAGGUCAACGGUUCGAUCCCGUUCGGCUCCACCA